CUCAGAUUGAACGCUGGCGGCAUGCCUUACACAUGCAAGUCGAACGGCAGCACGGGCUUCGGCCUGGUGGCGAGUGGUGAACGGGUGAGUAAUACAUCGGAACAUGUCCUGUAGUGGGGGAUAGCCCGGCGAAAGCCGGAUUAAUACCGCAUACGAUCUGAGGAUGAAAGCGGGGGACCUUCGGGCCUCGCGCUAUAGGGUUGGCCGAUGGCUGAUUAGCUAGUUGGUGGGGUAAAGGCCUACCAAGGCGACGAUCAGUAGCUGGUCUGAGAGGACGACCAGCCACACUGGGACUGAGACACGGCCCAGACUCCUACGGGAGGCAGCAGUGGGGAAUUUUGGACAAUGGGCGCAAGCCUGAUCCAGCAAUGCCGCGUGUGUGAAGAAGGCCUUCGGGUUGUAA
This 403-nucleotide ribosomal RNA is filed under the name Burkholderia mallei. RNAcentral describes it as "bacterial SSU rRNA". It matches the Rfam family "Bacterial small subunit ribosomal RNA", at positions 23 to 428 of the family's 1533-position model. Lineage: Bacteria; Pseudomonadati; Pseudomonadota; Betaproteobacteria; Burkholderiales; Burkholderiaceae. The record is from RNAcentral.